This is a long non-coding RNA of Xiphias gladius (swordfish), 893 nucleotides long. RefSeq lists it as uncharacterized. The transcript has 3 exons. Lineage: Eukaryota; Metazoa; Chordata; Actinopteri; Istiophoriformes; Xiphiidae. The record is from RefSeq and is a predicted model, not a curated record.
GGAACAGACGAGGAAGACGAGGGCACCGGGGUGAAAACAGCGGGGCCGUGGGAGUAAAAAGUUACAGAGUGGCUCCGGGCUGAUACUGAUGCUAGCUGGCCCUGCUAGAUAUCAGUUAGCAUAACUACUGCGCCACUUUUCAAUGUCACGACGUGGAGUCUGAGGCAUGAACGGACUGACGCGAGCAAGAGUCACGUCUUCAGUACAUGGCCGCUAGUCUCGACCUGCUCAGUGUCCCAGAGUGUAGCAGAGUGCCGGGGUUCUUCUGCGCAGAGGAGGAAAGAGAGCCGGAUUGAAGCUGGGCCCGCUCACAGUUUUUUAUUUUUAUUUUUUUUUUUAUUGCGGAUUUAAUGAGCUGUGUCACAGGCUGUCGGGCUCAGUGCUUGAUGCUUCGCUCUUUGGUUGCCACGGCCUGGAUUCAGCCUCCCUCCUCUCAUCUGUGUUGAUUCCAGGGGGAGCAGGCAGCAGGUUGAGGUGAAAAAGCUCUGAUAAACCCCAGUGCGUGUUACCUGCCGAGCGCCAGACGACACACAAAGAGCAGCUGGAGAGCCAGAUAUCCCCCCCCCUGAAAUAGAUCCCAAAGUGAUUCAUGAAAGAGCUACAAAAGAGUUUUACAUCUGGUGUCAUCGCAGGGUUUACAAAGACUGUUUUGUUAAGACUGCAAGGGCUUUUCAUCUGUUUCCACGUGCUGGAGCUAAAAGGUGCAGAAUUUUGAUAUUCUGAAAACCUUGAGAUGUUUCUGUAACUCGUGUUCAUGUGCAAACGAGCCCUUAACAAAGAGGCAUCUUUUAUUGCAUGCAGUGUUUGGGUUGCAUCCUACAUUUGUGUUCAAUCUUAAAAGUCUGUCUUAGAAAAAUGGUGUUUCAAAGUGCUUGGGAAUUGGGUGCAGUCUU